RNAcentral lists this ribosomal RNA (585 nucleotides) under uncultured bacterium. RNAcentral's name for it is "bacterial SSU rRNA". It matches the Rfam family "Bacterial small subunit ribosomal RNA", at positions 338 to 916 of the family's 1533-position model. The record is from RNAcentral.
CCUACGGGAGGCAGCAGUGGGGAAUUUUGGACAAUGGGCGCAAGCCUGAUCCAGCAAUGCCGCGUGAGUGAAGAAGGCCUUCGGGUUGUAAAGCUCUUUUGUCAGGGAAGAAACGGUUGAGGUUAAUACCUUUGGCUAAUGACGGUACCUGAAGAAUAAGCACCGGCUAACUACGUGCCAGCAGCCGCGGUAAUACGUAGGGUGCAAGCGUUAAUCGGAAUUACUGGGCGUAAAGCGUGCGCAGGCGGUUUUGUAAGUCUGACGUGAAAUCCCCGGGCUCAACCUGGGAAUUGCGUUGGAGACUGCAAGGCUGGAGUCUGGCAGAGGGGGGUAGAAUUCCACGUGUAGCAGUGAAAUGCGUAGAGAUGUGGAGGAACACCGAUGGCGAAGGCAGCCCCCUGGGUCAAGACUGACGCUCAUGCACGAAAGCGUGGGGAGCAAACAGGAUUAGAUACCCUGGUAGUCCACGCCCUAAACGAUGUCUACUAGUUGUCGGGUCUUAAUUGACUUGGUAACGCAGCUAACGCGUGAAGUAGACCGCCUGGGGAGUACGGUCGCAAGAUUAAAACUUAAAGGAAUUGACGG